RNAcentral lists this transfer RNA (57 nucleotides) under Fasciolopsis buskii. RNAcentral's name for it is "Fasciolopsis buski tRNA-Tyr". Lineage: Eukaryota; Metazoa; Platyhelminthes; Trematoda; Plagiorchiida; Fasciolidae. The record is from RNAcentral.
GCUGAUUUAGCAUAAGUUUAGUGUGUGGGAUUGUAGCUUCCGAGGUGAGUUAUUUUA